This 250-nucleotide ribosomal RNA is filed under the name uncultured bacterium. RNAcentral describes it as "partial 16S ribosomal RNA". It matches the Rfam family "Bacterial small subunit ribosomal RNA", at positions 524 to 772 of the family's 1533-position model. The record is from RNAcentral.
GACAGAAGGUGCAAGCGUUACUCGGAAUUACUGGGCGUAAAGCGUCUGUAGGUGUCGCGUAUAGUCUGUCGUGAAAUCACGAAGCUCAACUUCGUUGCACACGAUGGAAACUUACGCGAUCGAGUCACUCAGAGGCAUCUGGAAUGUCGUGUGUAGGGGUAAAAUCCGUAGAUACACGAUGGAACGCCGAAAGCGAAAGCAGGAUGCUGGGAGUGCACUGACACUCAGAGACGAAAGCGUGGGGAGCAAA